RNAcentral lists this ribosomal RNA (99 nucleotides) under uncultured Variovorax sp. RNAcentral describes it as "partial 16S ribosomal RNA". Lineage: Bacteria; Pseudomonadati; Pseudomonadota; Betaproteobacteria; Burkholderiales; Comamonadaceae. The record is from RNAcentral.
CAAUCGUGGGGGAUAACGCAGCGAAAGCUGUGCUAAUACCGCAUAAGAUCUACGGAUGAAGCAGGGGACUCGCAAGAGCCUUGCGCGAAUGGAGCGGCC